GCCUGCUUAGCUCAGCUGGUUAGAGCUUCCGUUUCAUACGCGGGUGGUCACUAGUUCAAAUCUAGUAGUAGGCA
Molecule: transfer RNA, 74 nt
Filed under: Bracteacoccus minor
Lineage: Eukaryota; Viridiplantae; Chlorophyta; Chlorophyceae; Sphaeropleales; Bracteacoccaceae
Description: tRNA-Met
Rfam family: tRNA
About the family: Transfer RNA (tRNA) molecules are approximately 80 nucleotides in length. Their secondary structure includes four short double-helical elements and three loops (D, anti-codon, and T loops).
Source: RNAcentral